CCCAUGAUCUAUGUAAUUAUUUUCUCUGAUUACAUCAUUGUAUGGCCGAUCUGAAGAACAUUAUUGAUAGUAGGAGUACAUCAUACAAGGAUAAUACUGGGAAAUUAUAAGUGUGUUUGUUUAUAAGCAUUGACAUGCAUAUCUUAUUUCAACCUUGAGGCUCUAAAGCCCUAAUAUUUGCAUUUAUUUGUAAACAAAGGGUGCGAAAAAUGUAGAAUCAACAACUAAUUAGUCAAUGCAAGAGAUGAGACAAAAUGAGGGAACAUUCAUGGCUCUGAGCUGCCAAACUGAAAUGCCCCUAUUAUUGUUAGUAUUUUUCCAUGGAAAAUAUUUUAAUGAUUUUAAGGAAUAUGAUUAGGUAUUCUAUAGAUGUUAUGAAGGUACUGGUAAAUUCACAUACAUGAAGUUGUUGCAUGUCCAUCAAAUUGUCUAGCCUUCGAGGAUGGAAUUAUUUGUUGGAAACGACUUCUGAAUCUGCAGAAUAAGAAGCUCAUUCACACUCUUUUCUCUCUAAUACUUGCGGUCACAAGACCAUGGUGUUAAUGGAGUCAAAUAACUUCAGGUGUCUUAGACGCAUCACUUUGCUCCUUUCUCAAGUUUGAUCUGUACUAACGUGGUUGCACAAUUUGAAAAUUACAUAAUGUUUUUUUGUAAAUGCAAAAUCUGUCGACAUGACAUUUUUUAAAACCAAUAUUUACAAGCAGCAGUUACAAAAUUUCACCAAGCAAAAUGAAAUUACCAAUUUACUCCGAAGAUUCAAGUUUAUCUAUGGAACGUCUCUUCUUGCCUUCUUUUUACUAUUUAUGUCCCUUGCUUUCAGUAUGCACUUUAGUUGUUCGUUCAUUUCAUCCAAGCAUGAAUUGUAGAUCGUGUAUCGGUCGUAGUUUUCACCUAGUUCACAUAUUCAUGAUAAAUUGUAGCAAAAAAAGGCUUUGGAGAAGCGGGCCAGGAGAUGGGACAAUGGUCCAACGCUGUUGCCUUGAUGCUACUGGAUGAUUUCAUCAUGCUACCACUCACAUGGUUAUACCACAUUGUUCUCAUCCGAUUGGCCAGUCUCCUUCUCUUGACCGAGUCGAAUUCAUUGCAUCCGUUAUAAAUUUCUCCGUUGCCGCCCUUACAUGGCCUGCAUCAUUGCUGCCACCGUCCAUGGCCCGCAUCGCCGCCGCCCCUACCAUCCCUCUCUCCACCUCCAUCGCCGGCUUCUCCGGCCGCAACCAAGGUGAGGCUGCUGCUCAAAGUGCAGCUCCGGAACCUGGUCUCCCUCCUCGGCUGAUUUGUAAGGCAGCAGUAUAAUUAUCCGCUACUCCGGUCAACAGAGUAAUGGUAGUUUGGUCAUCUCCUGUGUUUAUGCCAUAAACAUAAUACUCCCUAAAUACUGCAGUAUGUACGUAUGCACAGAUUUCCUGUUUGAUAAACUAUGGUGAAUGAGAAGCUAGCUAGCUUAUUCACUCGAUUCCCUGUUAGAUACUGCAGUAUAUACUUCUUGCUUUUGUUGUUCUUAAUAUAGCUUGCUAGUUUUGGAUUUAAUCGUUCUUUCUAGUUCUGUAUGCUUAUCAUGGAGUAGUUGCUUUAUUUUCUGAGUAGGAGUUUAUACUUUCUAUAGGAGUAGGAGUAUAAAUACUUAAGUUCUCCGUUAAGGUGAUGGAGUAGUAGUAUAUACUUUAAACUAUGAUGACAUUACAGUCUAAAUAAAAUCCACUUUUAAAUUACAACCAGUUGAGAAGGUAAUUCAAUGUAAAUGUACAACCUGUUGAGUAUUCUACGCAAAAUACCCACUUCUGUACUUUUAAAUUCACUUUAAUCUGGAGUAGUGGUAUAAUGAAGAUGGUAUCUGAAUUCACUUUAAUCAACCAGAUGUUCCUUUAGCUUAGUACUCCAUGAGCUUAUUGUCAUAUUUCUAGUAUUGGAGUAUGUCUUCUAGAUGUGAAUGAGCUCGGAGGCGACCUGUUGGUGAACAACCUGUAGGUGUACUCCAUGAGCUUAUCUGUUUUCCUUCUUCAGACCAUGCCCGCCGGUUUUAUCAUCCUUAUUUGUGAAUCAUUAGACUCCUGAAAAUCUCUGGCUCCUGAAAAUCAUAAAACUGAUGAAAUGCACGCCGGUUUCUAUCAUCAUUAUUUGUUAAAUCUCUGGCUCCUGUGUGCAUUUUCUGAAUAAUAUUAACUGAAAUUUAAUGUGUGCAUUUUCUGAAUCAUAUUAGCUGGAAUUUAUUGUGUGCAUUUCUACUCGAGCUAUCAUUACAUCAUUGCCAAAUGUUUAUCAGCUUGCAUACAGUGAAACUUAUUAUUCAGAUACACAUGGAAAGGAAGAGAGUCGAAUGCAUCACCUUUUUUAUUCAGACACACAUGGAACUUAUUAAGGCAUAGAGAUGUUUCCCUUUUUUUUGAAGGAUAGAUGUCAGUUUAUUCUUAGCCUUUCAAUCACUAUGAUCUUUGAACUUUGAAUGAUGCUAGAUAUCAGGUCUGUAUCCUGCAAAUUGUUCAGCGCAUGCAACUCGUCAUUCUGCACAAUUAGCACACGUCCUGUUUGUUCUGCGCAUAUAUCUGUAGCAUUAGUAAACUACUAACAGGAGUAGUAAAAUGGAUAGUGGAAAUGUUUCAAACUGAAUUUUCGUGCACUGAACCACACCAUUUCUUAUCUUCUUUUAAUCUGCAUCUCUCUUUUCCUUCUUCUGAUCCUUUGAUUCAAUAAUGUCAUUAUCAUUUCUUCCUUAUUAAAAGGUUUAGAGCAGUUCUUUUCUUUUAAUUUGCAGCUAUUGUUUAUUCAGUUGAGACUAUUGAGCAAGUUGCAGUAAACCUGAGGCCGACGUGUAGCAAUUUAAGCACCUACCCUAAUGGAUGAUUCAUUUCUCUUCGGGUGGAGAGAAGUUGAGGCCUGGAAGAACCAUGGUGAUCUGCUGUGCUGCCGAGCAAGGAAGAAGGUCUUGUGUUAGGCGCAUGUGGACCUGGAGGUGCUUACCGGUACUCUGUUGGGUAAGUGUUGGGACGUGUGGACCUGGAGGUGCGGCUGGCUUACAGGGAGAGCAUCUGGGUGACCUGGAGCUGCCGCGAGUUGGGCCACAAGCUGGGUGGCGCAACCAGAUCGUCGGUGAAGGAGUCCGAUGGUGAGACAUAACUGUUGUUCGCCGCUGCAAGCCUGUCCAUGGCCAGCGCGGACACAGUGGAUCGCGCCGUUGUACACACUGGUCUGGUAGGUCGGACCGUCACCCAUAAAUUAUCUGUUGGCUCGCUAAAAUGGAUGGAAUGAACUGUUUUGAGCAAGAUAUAUACAGUGCAGGAGUACAUAGGUCUCAACUUUGUUGAGAUCAUCAACUAGUGGAGGCAACUAGCUAGUUCAGAUUAUCAAGUAGUUCGGAAUGUUCUAGCGGAAUGUUCUACAGUAAACUUGUUCUAAAUUAUCAAGUAGUUUGGAUUAUCA
This is a non-coding RNA of Lolium perenne, 3414 nucleotides long. The record is from RefSeq and is a predicted model, not a curated record. Lineage: Eukaryota; Viridiplantae; Streptophyta; Magnoliopsida; Poales; Poaceae.